Molecule: ribosomal RNA, 446 nt
Filed under: uncultured bacterium
Lineage: Bacteria
Description: bacterial SSU rRNA
Rfam family: Bacterial small subunit ribosomal RNA
Source: RNAcentral
CGCCAGACUCCUACGGGAGGCAGCAGUGGGGAAUAUUGCACAAUGGGGGAAACCCUGAUGCAGCGACGCCGCGUGAGUGAAGAGGUAUUUCGGUAUGUAAAGCUCUAUCAGCAGGGAAGAUAAUGACGGUACCUGACUAAGAAGCCCCGGCUAACUACGUGCCAGCAGCCGCGGUAAUACGUAGGGGGCAAGCGUUAUCCGGAUUUACUGGGUGUAAAGGGAGCGUAGACGGCUGUGCAAGCCAGAUGUGAAAGCCCGGGGCUCAACCCCGGGACUGCAUUUGGAACUGUGUGGCUGGAGUGUCGGAGAGGCAGGCGGAAUUCCUAGUGUAGUGGUGAAAUGCGUAGAUAUUAGGAGGAACACCAGUGGCGAAGGCGGCCUGCUGGACGAUGACUGACGUUGAGGCUCGAAAGCGUGGGGAGCAAACAGGAUUAGAUACCCCUGUA